UAGUGAGGUGAACCAUCCCUUUGCCCACCGCGUUGAUAUACAGUCUGCCUGAAAUUAUUUAUCAACUCUGAAUACAUUAUAAGGUGAAGCAUGAUUAAUCCCUUGAUAUAAAUUUACAAAUCAGUAAGGAUAUAUCUAUGAAAAUCAGAACAACAGUUUGCUGUGACAAAGCAUCUGACCUGAUCCUCUAAAAUAGAUUCGAAUGGUCUGAAAAAAUAAUUCAAUCAAAAAAAAAAAGUUCGUCACAGAUUUCGAAGACAUCAUCUGUCAAAUACUGUAAUCAAUGAAAAACAUUUUGACGUGCAGCCUAAAUGCAACUGGUUCAUCCUUCUCCACCUCUGUGUCCUCAGGCCAUACAACUACAGUUUGUUUCCAAUGCGUUAAAGCAUUUUGUGGACUAGUUGACAAUUCUGACUCAUCAGGAAACAUGACGGAAAACCAAAUACAGACUCCCUGGUAUCUACCAUCCCGACUACAUGGUACAACUAUGUCCUCAGCUCCCAGAAAUUCCAGUUCUGAAGAUGUCACACUACCCAGGUCUAGCCAAACAAGCAUUGUUCCAUCCGAAACCACAUCACUGGCUUCUAUUGCAUAAACUUUGGAAGCCCCAGCUUGAGCACAAAACACUGAGAGAAUGCCUAAAUGACAAAAAAAUAUCUGUCAGUGAAGAUGUACUAGAUCUGAUUGGAUCUUGAAUAUUUUUAACAAACACUAUCUACAGUUAGAAUAGUAGACAAUGUCAGUGGGCUCUAACUAUAAUACAACGUCCAACUAUUGGUUCAAAUUUGCAUCAAGGUAAAACUGUAAUGUACCUGUACCAGCUCCUACAUCCAUUACAAUUUUAUUUUGGAAUUUUUCCCGACAAGCAAAUAUCGCAUUUUUGUAAGCAAUAGUCCGUGGUCUGUCCUCAAGCAUCAGUUGAUGAACCUGUAAAAAUCUUGCGUAAGUUCUUCUAUAAUAUUCAUCAUUAUGAUUAAUUUACCUCCAGAUCCUCGUAACUCUUGAAAUAUCCAUCUGUUGAAUCCCCCAUGCUCAUCGACAAUUUGUACUAUUUUUUCAGUCAGUUACACUAAAAACACGUGUUCGUAGUCGGUUUUUGGUUAUAACAGUCAUAAUUUUGUCAUGAUUGAAUGUGGGAUGAUAGCAUUGACUGCGGUCGGUAUGCACCCCUAACAGGUGCUGCUAGUUCAAAAAACUGGUUGACGGGUCCAGUGAGAGGGCGUAAGCUUGCGGGACC
RNAcentral lists this unclassified non-coding RNA (1237 nucleotides) under Athalia rosae (coleseed sawfly). Its description in RNAcentral is "misc RNA ENSAEAG00005000646.1". The record is from RNAcentral. Lineage: Eukaryota; Metazoa; Arthropoda; Insecta; Hymenoptera; Athaliidae.